GUGGGGAAUAUUGCACAAUGGGCGCAAGCCUGAUGCAGCAACGCCGCGUGGGGGAUGACGGCCUUCGGGUUGUAAACCUCUUUUAGUAGGGAAGAAGCGAAAGUGACGGUACCUGCAGAAAAAGCACCGGCUAACUACGUGCCAGCAGCCGCGGUAAUACGUAGGGUGCAAGCGUUGUCCGGAAUUAUUGGGCGUAAAGAGCUCGUAGGCGGUUUGUCGCGUCUGCUGUGAAAUCCCGAGGCUCAACCUCGGGCCUGCAGUGGGUACGGGCAGACUAGAGUGCGGUAGGGGAGAUUGGAAUUCCUGGUGUAGCGGUGGAAUGCGCAGAUAUCAGGAGGAACACCGAUGGCGAAGGCAGAUCUCUGGGCCGCUACUGACGCUGAGGAGCGAAAGCAUGGGGAGCGAACAGGAUUAGAUACCCCUGUAGUCC
This 430-nucleotide ribosomal RNA is filed under the name uncultured bacterium. RNAcentral's name for it is "partial 16S ribosomal RNA". It matches the Rfam family "Bacterial small subunit ribosomal RNA", at positions 354 to 796 of the family's 1533-position model. The record is from RNAcentral.